RNAcentral lists this ribosomal RNA (434 nucleotides) under uncultured bacterium. RNAcentral's name for it is "partial 16S ribosomal RNA". It matches the Rfam family "Bacterial small subunit ribosomal RNA", at positions 29 to 507 of the family's 1533-position model. The record is from RNAcentral.
AGCGAACGCUGGCGGCAGGCCUAACACAUGCAAGUCGAACGAACCUUUCGGGGUUAGUGGCGGACGGGUGAGUAACACGUGGGAACGUGCCUUUAGGUUCGGAAUAACCCAGGGAAACUUGUGCUAAUACCGAAUGUGCCCUUCGGGGGAAAGAUUAAUCGCCGUUAGAGCGGCCCGCGUCUGAUUAGCUAGUUGGUUGAGGUAAUGGCUCACCAAGGCGACGAUCAGUAGCUGGUCUGAGAGGAUGAUCAGCCACAUUGGGACUGAGACACGGCCCAAACUCCUACGGGAGGCAGCAGUGGGGAAUCUUGCGCAAUGGGCGAAAGCCUGACGCAGCCAUGCCGCGUGAAUGAUGAAGGUCUUAGGAUUGUAAAAUUCUUUCACCGGGGACGAUAAUGACGGUACCCGGAGAAGAAGCCCCGGCUAACUUCGUG